GUACGCGUAGCUCAGCUGGAUAGAGCGUUCGCCUCCGGAGCGAAAGGUCGAGAGUUCGAAUCUCUUCGUGUACA
This 74-nucleotide transfer RNA is filed under the name Eubacteriales bacterium. RNAcentral describes it as "tRNA-Arg". It matches the Rfam family "tRNA". Rfam says of the family: Transfer RNA (tRNA) molecules are approximately 80 nucleotides in length. Their secondary structure includes four short double-helical elements and three loops (D, anti-codon, and T loops). The record is from RNAcentral. Lineage: Bacteria; Bacillati; Bacillota; Clostridia; Eubacteriales.